This is a long non-coding RNA of Eptatretus burgeri (inshore hagfish), 1868 nucleotides long. Lineage: Eukaryota; Metazoa; Chordata; Myxini; Myxiniformes; Myxinidae. The record is from Ensembl.
AUGUCUUCCUGCAUCGGUGUUCUGCCAGGCACUUGGAACUGCAGCCAGAGACAAGUGGAGCAGCACUUGUGUUUGUCGCUGUCUGGCAGGCAGGGCACUGGACUCGGUAUUGCUGUCUUAACUUUCCCUUGCAAGUGCUUCUCUCCACUCUGGCAUUUCAUGGGCCCCCUGCAAAGUUUUAUCAACACUUGUUGCUGCUCUUUCUGCUGCUCACGCAGGAGGUCAUGCAGACUUCAUCGAUUCCUCUUCAUCGAUCUGACAAGCGGUUGCAGAGAACCAUUUAUUUUUAAAGGCACGCACGCACAUACGUGCGCGCAUUGCAAUCGUGCGGAAUCGCUUUGAGGUGAGAUGAUAAUCUUUUUUUUUUGUUUACCCACAUUUGUGUGCUUUCUUGCAGGACAUCCUGACUAUAAUGCACAGUGUAUUUGAAACAGAGUGAUAGUGGACAGUAAAGGACGUGUUUGAAAGGUUCUCAUGCCAGCUGACAAACUGGUGUUUCCAAACUGGUCUCCGCAAGAUCUUGAAGGGGAAACGGCCCAUGUGUGAACUUUGUAGGAAGUGCUAAUGGAGCCUGAUGAUGAUUCAAAGUUAUAGUACACGCCUGAACAACUGUGGCAGUUUUAUGAGCUUGCAUGGAUCAGUGCCUGACAUUGUUCCUAUUGUAGCUCGAGGCAGGCGGUUUAUCGAUAUCGGUCCUUUCACUCGUACCAUAUUAUUUACGUUGGUUGCUUGGGCCCCCUGUAUAUGAACAGAACAUGCAUCCCUCGUAAUAUGGGAACUUGAUAUGCAGAAUUUUGCGACAACGUAAUGUAUAAAUUAGCGAACCAAUUUUGUUAUAUGUUGCGUUAAAUUCGCUUUUGUGGAAUUUUGAAUCUCUAGAUUAUAAAAAAAUUAUUUUGUCCUCGCAUACAUUUCAUAUUGACCACGUCGUUUGCAUGCACAUUUCAUCCUGCACUGGUUUCCCACGCUUUGUCUGCUACUCAAGCUUGGCUGGUUUUAAUUUAACCCAUUGUGUUGAUCAUGCUUGGUACUGGACUGUGAAGGGUUUCACCCGUUUUCAUCAUUCUUACUUCAGCAAAAGUAAGUCAAAAUGUCUUGAAAAUGGCUAAUUUUGAGCAUUAUUAUGAAUAUUCCAAAUUUCUUUGAAAUGUAUGUACUUUAAAAAGUUUGCUCCAUUCUGAAGUGUGUGUUUAUUUUGUCUUGGGACUGAAAAAUAGCUUGCUGUCAUGUGCGGCCUAUGGCUGCUGGUUGCAUCACUUUUCUGCGGGCACGGAUAUGCUGCUGAUGCAGUGCCCUCUGCCAGUGCACUGGUACUCAUUUUUCUGACUUCAGGAAGAUGACAGGCUGAGUCAACCCCACUUGAUGUUGAUUCAAUGGCCGACAGGGGCUCAAACUCGAGACCCUAAGAUAUUAAGCGAACACCAGGCUUGCCCAGAAAAUGUUUCCAUAGUAACGCGUCUUCAACUAAAAUGGCCAGGCUCAACAGUUUGUUUUGUUUCCCACUGAUGGGCCGGAUCUGCAUCCGGACCAUUCGUCCUUGUCACAUACGAAAAUCUCAUCGGCUUGUUCUUGUCACCUACCCAACUGAUUCACCUAGCUUUGUCAUAACUCGAUCAUAACUUUUUGAAAUUGUGCUGCAUAUCGUUUUUUGGCCUCCUCUCUCAAUGUUGAAGAAUCACUUAGAAAAUUAAAAAAAACUCUCUUAUUUGGAUCUGGAUCUUCACCAGAAUUGAUUCAAUUCAUCCUUGUCACACAUCCAACCUGCCCACCAUGUUUCGUCCUUAUCUGUCCAUAAUGUUUUGAGAUAUCCUGCUCACAGACAGACGGGUGAAAACAUAACCAACCUUUGGUGAUGGCCCCCCCCCCCC